Long non-coding RNA from Cotesia glomerata, 213 nucleotides. RefSeq lists it as uncharacterized. The record is from RefSeq and is a predicted model, not a curated record. The transcript is spliced from 3 exons. Lineage: Eukaryota; Metazoa; Arthropoda; Insecta; Hymenoptera; Braconidae.
AUUAACAUAUAUGGAAAAAACGAAAAAAAAUUUUUUUUUUGUAAUACGCCCUUAUAGUUUUAAGAAAACAUUUUUCUAAAACCGUAAGGGCGUAUCCUGUUUUUCCGGUUUAUUAUCAUUUAUAGGUGAGAGUAAGAAAAAAAAUUGCAAAGGUAAUAGAAAUUAUCACUUCACAACUUAAUUUAUGUCAACAAAUAUUUAUUUAAGUGAAAA